Non-coding RNA from Microcebus murinus (gray mouse lemur), 473 nucleotides. Lineage: Eukaryota; Metazoa; Chordata; Mammalia; Primates; Cheirogaleidae. The record is from RefSeq and is a predicted model, not a curated record.
GAUCACAGGCGGCCCGGACUUAAAUCCCAGUUAAGCCUCCAAGUAAUUGUGUGACCCUGGGUCAGUCGCAGCCUUUCUUUGAAUCUCAUUUCAUCAUCUGUGAAAUGGGAGGACAAUAGCCGCCGUUCUCGGCACGUCCGAAGCAGCAAAAGAGGUUACACGGGUGAAAACUCUGGAGGCUUAGAGUGCCGCGCGGGAGAGGGUUUUGUCCUCUUCCCCGAAGGAUUCAAAGUUCAAGCACGGGGCCGCUCUAGCGCUCAGGUGACGCUGCUAUUCUUGAGUUCCCAUACCUCUUAAACCUCGGUUGUAGCCCUGAUGCUGUCCGUCCUCUGGCAUGCUGGAGCUAUGUCAUCUCUCCCCCAACUAGACUGAGUCCUCUGGGAGGACAGGCACCUACCCAUGUCAUCUCUAGUUUCAGUGCCCAGCCUGAUGCCUGACUCAGAAAGGGCCUUAAUAAAUGUCGCUGGAUGAAA